RNAcentral lists this ribosomal RNA (492 nucleotides) under uncultured bacterium. Its description in RNAcentral is "partial 16S ribosomal RNA". It matches the Rfam family "Bacterial small subunit ribosomal RNA", at positions 29 to 507 of the family's 1533-position model. The record is from RNAcentral.
AGUGAACGCUGGUGGUAGGCCUAACACAUGCAAGUCGAACGGCAGCACAGUAAGAGCUUGCUCUUACGGGUGGCGAGUGGCGGACGGGUGAGGAAUACAUCGGAAUCUACUUUUUCGUGGGGGAUAACGUAGGGAAACUUACGCUAAUACCGCAUACGACCUACGGGUGAAAGCAGGGGAUCUUCGGACCUUGCGCGAUUGAAUGAGCCGAUGUCGGAUUAGCUAGUUGGCGGGGUAAAGGCCCACCAAGGCGACGAUCCGUAGCUGGUCUGAGAGGAUGAUCAGCCACACUGGAAUUGAGACACGGUCCAGACUCCUACGGGAGGCAGCAGUGGGGAAUAUUGGACAAUGGGCGCAAGCCUGAUCCAGCCAUACCGCGUGGGUGAAGAAGGCCUUCGGGUUGUAAAGCCCUUUUGUUGGGAAAGAAAAGCAGCAGGUUAAUACCCCGCUGUUCUGACGGUACCCAAAGAAUAAGCACCGGCUAACUUCGUG